Molecule: non-coding RNA, 141 nt
Filed under: Candidatus Pullichristensenella stercorigallinarum
Lineage: Bacteria; Bacillati; Bacillota; Clostridia
Description: glmS glucosamine-6-phosphate activated ribozyme
Rfam family: glmS glucosamine-6-phosphate activated ribozyme aptamer
About the family: This entry contains a glucosamine-6-phosphate activated ribozyme that is found in the mRNA for GlmS. GlmS is an enzyme that uses fructose-6-phosphate and glutamine to generate glucosamine-6-phosphate.
Source: RNAcentral
AAGCGCCAGAGCCGCGCCAGGAGCGCGGCGGACGAGGAGAGGGGAGUAUCGAACCUUCGGCGGAUGCCCCUCCGGCGGGUUUUCCCCGUCGUCAGGCAGCCUACAAAUAUGCGGGCAACCGCAAAACAAAGCGGCUGUUAA